CAGUACCUAAGUCCUCCAGACAGAUACACUUAAAUUUAUUUGCAUAACCAGUGCUACAGUAAAAGAACGCACACUGCAGUCCUCAGGGAUCCACUGGGAAAAGUUUACCACCAGUGUACUCUGACCUGUUGGGCCUGUCACAUCACAGUCAGCUAUGUGCCACACACACGGACACAAACACCGCAAUCAUUUGUCAUCAACAACGCGAACGGACUGAUCAGUUGUCAGUGCUCAAACAGCCUACCUGUAACUGUGCACACCAGUGCUCCACUUUGCUGCCACCUCUAUGCUUCACAGCGCUGAGCUUCUCGACGAGGAAACAUGUCAGCAUCGCACUGCAGAAAAGCACGGCUCGGACACACACACGGGCUACGGCUGAUCAUCUGAGGUAGGUGUUUCGGGGAAGAAAAACCCCGAUCGGGUGCGGCAUCGCAGAGGCAGUGUGGAAGUCUUUCCGGGGAGCUGCGACUGACUCACUGUGAGCUGAGAGGCUGCGCUCUGCACCGGGAGCGCGCACCACUGAAUCGAUAGCGAGCCCGAGCGGCUGGGAUGUUUUAGCCGCUGGGGCUCCCGGACCUUUUCAAAGUCAAGGACCCAGAUAUAAGACAGGCGUAUGGGUAUGCGAGCAUGCACAGUACAGUGUGAUGAUGUUCUUCAGCUCGAGGAACCGCAAUUGAGCAGUGUUAGGUAUAUGCAGAUGGCUGCUCAUUUGUUUGCUUUCCACCCUGCCGGAGGGAAUUUGAACAAAGGGACAAAGGUCAAAGCUUCAUCUUCUCUCAAGUUAUUUGUUUUCCUCAUUGUGGCACGGCCACCGCACCAUUCAUUCCUUAAUAUCUCAACUAAGAUGGCAAAAUAGAUAUCACUGAAAAGCAUGCCUUUGAAUAGUCUUUUAUCUUCUUUGUUCUAAAUUACAAUGUAUUUGUCAGAUUUAGCAGUAAAUUCAGAUGAUAUCUGACAUUUUUUUUCUUGUCUUAAAGGGAAAAAAAGUAAAACCUGGCACUUCUGUGCUGCUCUGGCCGGUGUGUCCUAAAAUGAUUAAU
This is a long non-coding RNA of Melanotaenia boesemani (Boeseman's rainbowfish), 1040 nucleotides long. RefSeq lists it as uncharacterized. Lineage: Eukaryota; Metazoa; Chordata; Actinopteri; Atheriniformes; Melanotaeniidae. The transcript has 3 exons. The record is from RefSeq and is a predicted model, not a curated record.